CCUACGGGAGGCAGCAGUGGGGAAUAUUGGGCAAUGGAGGAAACUCUGACCCAGCGACGCCGCGUGCGGGAUGAAGGCCUUCGGGUUGUAAACCGCUUUCAGUAGGGAAGAAGCGAAAGUGACGGUACCUACAAAAGAAGCACCGGCUAACUAUGUGCCAGCAGCCGCGGUAAUACAUAGGGUGCAAGCGUUGUCCGGAAUUAUUGGGCGUAAAGAGCUCGUAGGUCGUUUGUUACGUCGGAUGUGAAAACCUGAGGCUCAACCUCAGGCCUGCAUUCGAUACGGGCAAACUAGAGUUUGGUAGGGGAGACUGGAAUUCCUGGUGUAGCGGUGGAAUGCGCAGAUAUCAGGAGGAACACCAAUGGCGAAGGCAGGUCUCUGGGCCAAUACUGACACUGAGGAGCGAAAGUCUGGGGAGCGAACAGGAUUAGAUACCCUGGUAGUCCAGACCGUAAACGGUGGGCACUAGUUGUGGGAACCUUCCACGGUUUCUGCGACGCAGCUACGACAUAGUACGCCCGCCGUCGGGAGGUACGAGUCGCGAAGAAGUUAAAACGUUAAAAGUAAAGUUAGUACGGACGUGAGACGUGACCGAACGGACGACCGACGAGGGAGGUAGG
This 620-nucleotide ribosomal RNA is filed under the name uncultured bacterium. RNAcentral describes it as "bacterial SSU rRNA". The stretch from base 1 to 523 matches the Rfam family "Bacterial small subunit ribosomal RNA", at positions 338 to 873 of the family's 1533-position model. The record is from RNAcentral.